This is an RNA transcript of Rhopalosiphum maidis (corn leaf aphid), 2414 nucleotides long. It is a transcript of the gene named THAP domain-containing protein 4-like, with no coding region annotated. The record is from RefSeq and is a predicted model, not a curated record. The transcript has 4 exons. NCBI's taxonomy places the organism in Eukaryota, Metazoa, Arthropoda, Insecta, Hemiptera, Aphididae.
CGGCGAUAUUCCUUCAGUCAAUAUGUAAAUGUACACCACUUUAAUAACUAUCUAUAAUAAUUCAAUGUAAAUAUUAUUACCUAUUUAGAAUUAUUAAAAAUAUCGUCUGUAUGGUAUCUACCCACAGACAUAUUAUAUGUCAGACGUCUGUAUAUCUACCACGAUAUAUAUAUCUUUAAUCGUAGUAUCUACCACAGAUAUAUAUAUAUAUAGCCGACUGUGUAUUUGGCUAUGCAACCAAAUAUGAAUCCUGCCGCCAUAUGCAGUUUGGGCAAUGUUUACAAAUGUAUGUUAUCAAUUAUCGUGAUAACACUAAUAAAUAAAAUAGACCAAAUGCCACCAAACUUCAAAUUUUAAUCUUUAAUGUUUUGUUUAUCCAUUCAGCCGUCGUGUCGUGUUUUUUUUUAGAAAACUUGAGUUUUAUAUAAUAUUACAUAUAGAAUAUUUUUAUACUUAUAUACUUUUUUGAUUCAUUCACAUUAUGGUGUGCUCCUGUAGUGUGCAUCUGUGUACAAAUCGAUCAAACCCAGGAUCUCGAAAACAUCAUUUUUUCUCAUUCUCUCUGAAAAAUAUUGAAAGAACACAGCAAUGGGUUAAUGCAGUUGGCCGCAAGGGGUUAAUUCCAACCAAACAUAGUAAAAUAUGUAAAGAUCAUUUCCAUAAAAAUGAUUUUAAAAAAAAUAUUGGUGGUAGUUAUUUGUUAAAACUUAAUGUAACAGCCAUCCCUUCAAUUUUCCCUAAUUAUUCUGAGAUUAUAUACAAAGCUAAAAUGCAGUGUCUUGAAGUCAAAUCAUUGAAAGUAGUUGGAUGCAGUUCUGAUAUUCCUCACACUAAAAAUAAUGAACCAGAAUAUGUUCAGCUUAAUGAUAGUAAUUGUUUAAUUGGAAAUGCAUCAUCGACUUCAGGCUAUGAAACAAUUUUGACUGAAGUAUCGACCUUAAAUAUUGAAAACUUAUUGACACAAAAUUCAUCAUUACCUAAACUAAUAUUAAUCACACCAUCUAAAACAUCAUGUGCCCGUCUAUUAUUUAAUUCAAGUCCAGCAAAACACCCAAGUUUUUCUCCAUUUAAAGCUAAAUUAAAGAAUAAAAUAAAAUUAUUGCAACAAUAAGUUUGAAAACAAAAUAAAUCUAUUAAAAGAUUAAAAAAAAAAAAAAAUUGAUUAAUAAAGAGGCAGAAGAAUUACUAAUGGAAAAAUUUGAUGGUACAACUUUAGAUAUCUUCUAAAAUGUUGUAAAAAAUUAACAGGACGUAGAUUCAGUAUGAAAAAUUAAAGAAUUUUCUUUAACUCUGCAUUAUUACUCGCCUAAAGCUUAUGAGUAUGCCAGAUCAAUCCUAAUAUUACCAAGUAGUAAGUUUAUAAUGAACUGGAUUUCAUCAGUCAAUGUAGAACCUGGCAUUUUUUAAUGAAGUCAUGCAAUCUCUACAAACUUUAAGUGCAGAAGUUAAACACUGCAAUUUAUGUUUAGAUGCUAUGUCAUCGAGGAAACAAAUUAUAUGGAGUGAUAAAUUCAAUACAUUUUUUGGUUAUUGUGAUUUUGGUGUUGAAUUACAAUUGGAGGGAACAGAUACUCCAGCAACAGAGGCUUUAUUUUUUAUACUUGUCAGUCUAAAUGGUAAGUGGAAAUUACCUAUAACUUAUGUUCUUCAAAAUAAAACCACUGCAGUUGCUCAAGCAAAACUAGUUAAAUCUAUACUUAUGCAUACUCACAAAGCUGGUUUAACUGUUUGGGGUAUCACAUGUGAUGGUGCUUACACAAACAUAGCCAUGAUGAAAAUAUUAGGUUGCAUCAUUGGAAAAAGUUUCCAAUGGCAAUCGUAAUACAUUUGAUAACGAUGCUAUGUGUAGUAUUUUUGAUUUCAAAUGGAAGAAGAAUGUAGAAUUUAGUGAUGACCAUCUAUCAAGUGGGGCUGAUCAAGAUAUUUUAAAUAGAAUGAAAUUAAUUAACAAUAUAAGCCCUUCUUUACAGAGUGCUAAGGAAAAUAUUUUAUACUAAAUAUUAGGAUAUAUUAUUUUAAAAAUAGUGAAAAAAAUUGAUUGUAAUUCUUGUAAAACAAAUCUUUUUAAAGAAACAUCAGACCAUAAUUAUCAUAAUUCAUCACAACAUAUGGUAAAUUUGUUAAUUUAAGACAACACAGUGGCUUAAUUUUAGGAUCUGAGAGUUCAUUUAAAAUAAUAAUAGAGACUGAAAAAGUUCUUUUAAAUUUAACAAACCUUAAUUAAAAAUAAAAAAAUAUUGUAUAAAUGUAGUAAUAAAUUAUCCCUUGAUCAUAAUAUAUUCAAUAAGUUAGAUUGUAACGGUAGUAUUUUGGAACAAACAUAUAAAAUGAUUUUGAUAACUCUUUUUUAAAAGAUAUUUAAGCAUAAGACUUAAAUCUUUUAGUAAAAACACUGUGUAUUAAUAAAUACAACU